This 73-nucleotide transfer RNA is filed under the name Gymnotus carapo (banded knifefish). RNAcentral describes it as "tRNA-Lys". It matches the Rfam family "tRNA". From Rfam's summary of the family: Transfer RNA (tRNA) molecules are approximately 80 nucleotides in length. Their secondary structure includes four short double-helical elements and three loops (D, anti-codon, and T loops). Lineage: Eukaryota; Metazoa; Chordata; Actinopteri; Gymnotiformes; Gymnotidae. The record is from RNAcentral. RNAcentral also lists the same sequence under 2 other names.
CACUAAGAAGCUAAAAGGGAAUAGCAUUAGCCUUUUAAGCUAAAAAUUGGUGAGUCCCGAACACCCCUAGUGA